GCGUUUAAAGACUUUGGGGAUGGCGGAGAUGGUGGAGGAGAAGGAGACUGUUUUGCCGGUGUAGAGAGAAGCAACGGUGAAGACUACGGCGGCGGUUGAGAGGAGAGAGAAGGCGAAGAGGAAGAUGAGGUAGCUGAACUCGAAGAUGAGGAGCACGGUCCAGUCGUGGCGGGAGCGAUCGGAGUUAGGUGGGUCGGAGGAGGCGAGCUUGGAGAGAAUGGGCUGAGUGAAGAGGGAGUGAGCGAGGAUGGCGAAGGAGAGAGGGAAGAUGAGGGAGAGGGUGAUGAGGUAGAAGGUUCUUGGAGAUCGUUUCUUGAUUGAGAUGGAUUCUUCAACUAGUUGAGGGAUCGUCAAGAACUGGAGUUCUUCUGGCUGCAGAUCCAUGCCUUGUUUCUUCUGUGAGAAUUCUGAAAGGAAGAUGAGAUUUGUUUCUGAAUGCCCCCAAGAGGAUGAAUAUUGAAGACGAAGACUUUUGGUGGAAACUUCAACCAAACUAUUAUUAUCAUGUUUGUGUGUUUCUUUGACCCGUUUGACCAAUUUUUUUUUUUCUUUAAUAGAAUUAUUCUUUGCUUAAUACUCCAUGUAAAGUCUUCUUCUAUGGGCAGACUUCUUCUUUUUUUCUUGCAUGAUGAUGGGACGCAAUCCAGGAAGUAAGACUUUCCAUCUUCUCCUAUUUUUUAGCAAGACUUUUUAUUUGAACAAUCGCUUUUUGUUUUUUCUUUGGUUAAUAGUGAAAAUUCCGGACCUUUUAAGUCUUUUGACACCUCUAGCAUAGAUUGGUUGACAAUAUAGGAAACAUGAUUUAACUCUUUAAAUUGCAAGAUCAUUAAAAAGCAAAUUGUGUUCUUAAGCCAAUUAACAGACUAAAAGCAUGGAUGAGAGGUAGAAAACAUGUGGUUUUCUUGUCAAUCUUUCUCAUAUCGUUGCUUUUCAGAUCAUAACCGAGAACAUGAAAGGGAGAAAAGCAAAUCAUGUGGUAUCAAUAAAACCAUGCCAUUAUAACUUUACCUUAAAAUAAAUGUUAUUGACCAAAUGGAGCUGAUAAAGGUUGCAAAACCUAAGUCUUCCACCAUUCAUUGUUCUCGUCAUUUUCCAAACCUCAUAAAUCCACCGUACCCUUAUGCAUUUAAUAUUAAAUAUUACUUUUAAAUCUAUGUGAAAAUUCUAAAAAACUAAUUCUACUAGAAACAUAGGUAUAUAGUAAUUGUUAACUACUUUUCUUUUAAUUUUAAAAGAAUUUUCGUAUAUAAAAAAUAAUAUUUAAUCAUAAAUGAAUAAAAAUAAAGUAAACAAAUUCUAUAAAUGUAAAAUGAUAUUAAUCCAAUAGUACAAUUAGUUUCUAUAUAUCUUUUUACACUUAGAAUUAUUACCAUUAAUUAAUUAAUAAUGCAUGAAAUAUAUCUUUACCAAAACAAAAUAACUUUCUUAUAAAUUCAUUUUUUUAGGAACGGAUAGUUUAUUUUACCAAAUGAUAGGUAACAACUAGUAAAUCAGAGACGAGAAAAGGAUUACAAUUAACAGAAUUUGAACAGCUAGAACAGUAACUGAUUUUGCCCAAAGAAAAAGAACAGUCAUUGAUGAGCUCGCUGAUUGUACAUGAUUUGGUUUGGCAUGAAUCUCUCUUCCUAACCAGGUGGCCACUUCAUCUGUCGGCCCCCAAGGACGUGGAGAUGAAGAUGGUAAACGGAUUGGCCUUGAUGAGAGGAAGUUAAGUGAGUUAAGUGUAUGAUAAUGAUGAUGAAUACAAAUUAGGAUGAUAUUUGGUUGGAUGGAAAAGACUUACAUCCUUCAGCACCGUUGUUUAUAACCACACGGAACCCAUCCACAAUGCCUUCUUUCUCAGCAACAAUCUUUGAUGCGUGCAGAAGUUGACCUAGAACUUCUAUGUGUCUUGGCUCAGCCUGCAAGAGUGUUUCACAGGAAGACAAUGUUCAGGUAAGAUAUUAAUCUAUUCCUCCAAAAGAAAAACUUAACUCUUCUUUCCACAAAGACUAUUUCCUCUAAUUACAAGAUUAUGAAUGAUCAGAAACACAGGACAUAACCCACAAUGCUGCUAGUCAUUACUCGUUACGAAACAACAUAACAAUUGGCCACAAGAUGAGACUCUGUGACAUGUGGACUGUAAAACCUAUUCGAUUGUGAUGGAAACACACACAAGGACCUAUUUGUUUUCCGCAAUUGCUUUCGAAUGUGCAACCCCGAGAAAGACCAACAUGGUUUCUUUCUUUAAAACUAGAAUGUGAAUCUCUAUUUCAACCUUACUAGAGAGGCAGAUUGAAUGCUAAAUUUAAAAAUUGGUCACCUUGCCAAGCGUGGUCAAGCCAUCUCUCAACUUAGGGAUGACCAAAACAUGAACAGGAGCCUGUGGGUUUAUGUCUCUGAAUGCCAAAACAUUCUCAUCUUCAUAGACAAUGUCUGAUGGAAUCUCUUUCGCUAUGAUCUUGUCAAAUCUAAAAACAAGAGCAUAAGAAUCAUUUCUAAACCCAUCACCAACAUAACAAACUAGGUCAGAUGUCUGAAAGAUUAGGCUCAUUUGUAUCAAAACACAAAAACAUGGAUUGUUCUGUAAUCAGUUAUUGAACUACAAUCCUUCAGACAAAGCGUACAUGGUCGGGGCUCCGGUGUCAGAAGCAGCUUUCGCGGCGGCCUCUUCAUUGUGUGCGGCACGAGUAGAAGAGAUGGAUCUGCCGAGCGAUAUAAACCAAAAUAAACGAGGAACUCAAAAUUAUCCACAUAUACAAAAACGAACUGAUUGAUUUUGACCUUGGAGAAGCAAUACGAGGAAGAACCCGAAUAAUCUCUCCGGCAGAGAAGAUUCUUGAAUUCGCUCGAACAGACUGAGCAAUCCUCCCCACCGUAGGGAGGUUCCUGAACACGAUACACACAUUAGCAAAUCAAUUCAACAACCAGCUCAAUUAUAUCUGUAGUUGACCAGUUUUACCGGAGCAGCAUCAUAGAGGAGGAAGUGACAGCCAUUCAAGAAGCUCUGCUUCGGCAACCAUUUCGAUCGACUUCGUAGCGAGUCUUUGUACAGACCUCAUCGUAGCGAAUCCUGAUAGAAACGACGUCGUAAUGAAUCUUUAUAUUUUGUUCACAUAAUAUUAUUUAGAGAAAAUGAGUAGGAUAACGCUAAAAAAAGUUUUUUUCACAAAUAUAGGUUCUAAAAAUAAAAAUGACCAAAAUAGCACUUAAUGUUUUAUCAAAAGAGAUAAAUAUACAUUUAUACCCCAAUGGUAAAUUAAUUUAGACAUUAUGAUUUAGAGUUAAGUGGUGGAGUUUAGGAUUUAGGGUUUAUGGUUUAGGGUUUAGAGUUUAGGGUUUAUAGUUUAGGGGUGGGGUUUAGGAUUUAGGGUUUAGAGUUAAGGAGUGGGGUUUAAGAUUUAGGGUUUAGGGUUUAGAGUUUAGAGGUGGGGUUUAGGUUUAGGGUUUAUAGUUAAGGGGUGGGGUUUAGGAUUUAGGGUUUAGGGUUUAGGGUUUAGGUUUUAGGGUUUAGGUUUUAGGGUUUAGGAUUUAGAGUUUAGGGUUUAGAGUUUAGGGUGGGGUUUAGGGUUUAGUGUCUUGAACCAACCGGUGUUUUGUGUAGACCGAGACAACAUGCAUAAGACAACUUCAUUUUUUCGUAGAACUUAGUUCCCUAUUGUGUUCAUUGUGGCCCUGAACUAUUCCUGGUUUUCAUGAGUAAACUUAGAAAAUAUAGCCUUGCAUUCAUUCUCAUAGAAACGGCCCCAUUUCACACUCAUUAGGUGAUUGACCAUGAAAAGUAUUGAGUAAUACUCCGCUUUGGAAGCUAUGGAAUCAUUAAAAGCUUAUGCUUAUCCUUCUCAGAUUUGUUAGCACUUUUAUCAUCUUAAGAACUGGGAAGAGACUACUUUGUCUCAAGUGCUUUGGUUAGAUUCAGUUUGAUUUUGUUUUCCCUUUGAACCUACGUCUUGUGAUCUCCAGUCAUGAUAGGUAGGGCUGCAAUCAAGCAUCUUCAUUCGUUAUAGGCUUUAAACUCAUUCCUUUUGAUGAUUUAGCAACAACAUCUCGUGACAAAUCUUUUGUAAAUGGAUCCGCUAGGUUGUCAGCCGAUUUGAUGUAGUUUAUUGUGAUUACACCAGUUGAGAUAAGUUGUCUAAUUAAUUAUAUACAUAAAUAAUAGAUAAAAAUUAGUUUUAUAUAUAACAUUCAUCCCGCGGAAUCGCGCGAGUUACAACUUAAACGUGUUGGACGUUGGCCCAACAUCAUUCAAGUUGGCCUAGUCCGAAGACCAAUCAAAAUCAUUUAGGCGUCAUAUCGACCCAUAAAAAGAGAAACCCACAUUUUUGCAAGUUCGUUCAUAAAGCCUUUAUAAUCUUGGGAUUAGACAACGGAUAGUGUCAGCAUACUAGGGUUGGACAUCACCGAUUGUAGUUGCUUCACUAACCACCAACUACAAACAAAAAAAAACUUGGAUAUUUUAACGUGAUACGUCUUCGCAAUGUGCUGUUACGAUGACCUAUGAAUCAACUGAUCAACUUCUUAGAGUUAGGAGAAUCAGCAUAUAAUUAAAGAGAGUUCGGUUGACGACUCAUUCACAAUUCGGUUGAUGACAUGUUAUUCUCUAUAUACUCUUCUGCUCCAUGUACCUUUGUACCGAGCCCCUCUCUUUCUCUCAUUUUUUUUUGUUGAUUGAAAUACCCGUCAGCAAAAAGACAUCUAUCAAAAGUUGCUCCUACGAACUAAACUUUAGUGUGGGUCAAUAGUUGAUGAAAGGUAUCUACAAAUUAAAGCCAGCUAGUUCCUCCAAUAAUGGUCAACUUAGGCAUCUACAAACCAAUAUUUUCAUCAUUUCCAAACAAUCUCCCAUAAGAUAAAACUAAAUUUUCACAGAUAACAAGGUUGUAGAAUAAAAUCAAAUAAAGUGACAAACUCAAAAUCCUUUCAAAUCAUAGAUUAAUCAAAUCAAAACACUACCAAAAGAGUGUUCACGUCUAUACAUACACAUUAGAUAACAACUAUUAUUCAAAUACCACUGCCUCUUCUUCUCCAAUCUUACAUUACCUCAAUAUAGUAUACAGAGAGAAAGACAGAGAAGAACUAGUACCAUCAUGAUCUCACAUGUCUAAAUUCUCCAACUGAAUGUUGCUCUUAAGAGGCACAUAAUCUCCAAGAUACCCACCAAGAUGAUCAUACAAAGCCGUCUUAUCAAUAGUCUGAUGAUGAUAACUCUUGCAAACGUAAUAAAACACACUCUGAACCAACAAACCCACCAAAUUCACCAUCACAAGAACACCAACAAGCAACCCACCAACAAGGGUCCUAGUCAAAGUCCCAAACUUUCCUCCUCCAUGAACCACAAUCGAUCCAAAAGUACCUCCAAUUAAUGCACAGAGAAAAAGGUAAACAAAGACCAACCCCAUAGCCAUCUUAGUCUUCCCCUUAAGAAGCUCAUAAGCUUUUCUCAUGGCAGAAAGUCCAUAAACAGGCUCAAGAACAGAGAUCACACUACCUAGAUGCCAUAGGGCAGUGAAAUAGACAUGAACAACAAAGUAAAGAACAGAGAUUAUAACUCCAGCGAUGACCGCUAAGCCUACACUGUUCAUAUCGAGAGCUAUGAAUAGUAUCACUAGGAAAACAAAGAAGACAGCGUUGUAAGCGAACAUCAAGAGUGCAACCCAAAGAAAAGUGAUCAAGAGGCGUUUAAAGACUUUGGGGAUGGCGGAGAUGGUGGAGGAGAAGGAGACUGUUUUGCCGGUGUAGAGAGAAGCAACGGUGAAGACUACGGCGGCGGUUGAGAGGAGAGAGAAGGCGAAGAGGAAGAUGAGGUAGCUGAACUCGAAGAUGAGGAGCACGGUCCAGUCGUGGCGGGAGCGAUCGGAGUUAGGUGGGUCGGAGGAGGAGAGCUUGGAGAGAAUGGGCUGAGUGAAGAGGGAGUGAGCGAGGAUGGCGAAGGAGAGAGGGAAGAUGAGGGAGAGGGUGAUGAGGUAGAAGGUUCUUGGAGAUCGUUUCUUGAUUGAGAUGGAUUCUUCAACUAGUUGAGGGAUCGUCAAGAACUGGAGUUCUUCUGGCUGCAGAUCCAUGCCUUGUUUCUUCUGUGAGAAUUCUGAAAGGAAGAUGAGAUUUGUUUCUGAAUGCCCCCA
RNAcentral lists this long non-coding RNA (6101 nucleotides) under Brassica napus (rape). Its description in RNAcentral is "long non-coding RNA (BNAP_LNC012178)". The record is from RNAcentral. Lineage: Eukaryota; Viridiplantae; Streptophyta; Magnoliopsida; Brassicales; Brassicaceae.